This 515-nucleotide ribosomal RNA is filed under the name uncultured freshwater bacterium. RNAcentral describes it as "bacterial SSU rRNA". It matches the Rfam family "Bacterial small subunit ribosomal RNA", at positions 8 to 571 of the family's 1533-position model. The record is from RNAcentral.
AGAGUUUGAUCCUGGCUCAGAGCGAACGCUGGCGGCAGGCCUAACACAUGCAAGUCGAGCGCCCAGCAAUGGGAGCGGCAGACGGGUGAGUAACGCGUGGGGAUCUGCCCAAUGGUACGGAAUAACCCAGGGAAACUUGGACUAAUACCGUAUGUGCCCUUCGGGGGAAAGAUUUAUCGCCAUUGGAUGAACCCGCGUCGGAUUAGCUAGUUGGUGAGGUAAAGGCUCACCAAGGCGACGAUCCGUAGCUGGUCUGAGAGGAUGAUCAGCCACACUGGGACUGAGACACGGGCCAGACUCCUACGGGAGGCAGCAGUGGGGAAUAUUGGACAAUGGGCGCAAGCCUGAUCCAGCCAUGCCGCGUGUGUGAUGAAGGCCUUAGGGUUGAAAAGCACUUUCGCCGGGGAAGAUAAUGACGGUGACCGGAGAAGAAGCCCCGGCUAACUUCGAGCCAGCAGGCGCGGGAAUACGAAGGGGGCAAGCGUUGCUCGGAAUCACUGGACGUAAAGCGCACG